UACGUAGGGUGCAAGCGUUAGUCGGAAUUACUGGGCGUAAAGCGUGCGCAGGCGGUUUUGUAAGCCAGAUGUGAAAUCCCCGGGCUUAACCUGGGAAUGGCAUUUGGGACUGCAAGGCUGGAGUGUGGCAGAGGAGACUGGAAUUCCUGGUGUAGCAGUGAAAUGCGCAGAUAUCAGGAGGAACACCGGUGGCGAAGGCGGGUCUCUGGGCCACUACUGACGCUGAGGAGCGAAAGCGUGGGGAGCAAACAGG
This 253-nucleotide ribosomal RNA is filed under the name uncultured bacterium. RNAcentral's name for it is "partial 16S ribosomal RNA". It matches the Rfam family "Bacterial small subunit ribosomal RNA", at positions 524 to 776 of the family's 1533-position model. The record is from RNAcentral.